AUAAUCUAAGCGCCUGAUCCUAUUUGGAUGACGAGGAAUGGAGUUAUCGAAAAUCGGCGGAUGCUCCAGAGGUUUCACAGCCUAAACAUUUUACAAAAAAUAAAAGUAAUUUUAUAACAAAAUAAAUG
Molecule: non-coding RNA, 128 nt
Filed under: Peptoniphilus phoceensis
Lineage: Bacteria; Bacillati; Bacillota; Tissierellia; Tissierellales; Peptoniphilaceae
Description: glmS glucosamine-6-phosphate activated ribozyme
Rfam family: glmS glucosamine-6-phosphate activated ribozyme aptamer
About the family: This entry contains a glucosamine-6-phosphate activated ribozyme that is found in the mRNA for GlmS. GlmS is an enzyme that uses fructose-6-phosphate and glutamine to generate glucosamine-6-phosphate.
Source: RNAcentral